Molecule: small RNA, 124 nt
Filed under: Marmota monax (woodchuck)
Lineage: Eukaryota; Metazoa; Chordata; Mammalia; Rodentia; Sciuridae
Source: RNAcentral
GACAGGCACAGUGGCCAUGCCUGUAAUCCCAGUGGCUCAGGAGGCUGAGGCAGGAGGAUCACUAGUUCAAAGCCAGCCUCAGCAAAAGCGAGGUGCUAAACAACUCAGUGAGACCCUGUCUCUA